GACGAACGCUGGCGGCGUGCUUAACACAUGCAAGUCGAGCGGUAAGGCCCUUUCGGGGGUACACGAGCGGCGAACGGGUGAGUAACACGUGGGUGACCUGCCCUCAGCUCUGGGAUAAGCCUGGGAAACCGGGUCUAAUACUGGAUAUGACUCCAUGACGCAUGUUGUGGGGUGGAAAGCCUUGUGCGGCUGAGGAUGGGCCCGCGGCCUAUCAGCUUGUUGGGGGGUGAUGGCCUACCAAGGCGACGACGGGGUAGCCGGCCUGAGAGGGCGACCGGCCACACUGGGACUGAGACACGGCCCAGACUCCUACGGGAGGCAGCAGUGGGGAAUCUUGCGCAAUGGGCGAAAGCCUGACGCAGCGACGCCGCGUGA
Molecule: ribosomal RNA, 375 nt
Filed under: uncultured bacterium
Lineage: Bacteria
Description: bacterial SSU rRNA
Rfam family: Bacterial small subunit ribosomal RNA
Source: RNAcentral